UUUAUUUCUUUUUUAAGGGUGGUGUGAAUUUUUAUUUCUGCUCAGGUCAUAUCCAGAAUAAAGGGGGAAAGUGAAGAGCGGACACUCAAACUGUCAAACAAUCUAGGUGAUCGAGGAGUUUUUGUCCAACUCUGAAGCCAUCCUGUCCACCCAUCCCCUUGUGGUCCAAAAUAGCCUACGGAGCACGAAUCAGCAACUGAACACAAAAGAAAUCGCUCCAGGCGACACCAGAAGUUUAGGCCAUCCACCAAGAACAACCACAGAGGCAGAUCAAGGAACAAUCACAGAGGUCUCACACAUACACACACACCUCGCAGAGAUGAGCAGCACGACAGUGCUGUUCUCGCCGAGCUCCUCCCUGUUCCUCACCAAACCUUCUCCCCUCACCAAGAGCAGGGCGGCGGCGGCGUUGGCGGCGGCUGUGAGGUGCAGCAAUGAGCCAGCCCUUUCAGUGUCGCGUGAGGAGGAGGGAGUAGAAAUGAUGGGGAGGAGGCGUUCAUUGAUUUCUGCAGCUGCAGCUGCCUGUGGAGCUUCAGUGCUUGGGUUUGCAGGCCAUGGCCUGGCCGCCACUCAGGGCCUGCUGGCAGGGAGGAUCCCAGGCUUAUCAGAACCUGAUGAGAAUGGUAAAUUCUUCUCUUUUAUUCAUUUGUGAUUGAACUUGGUUGAUUUAUUUUGGGUCUAUAUGAGUACUUCAGAUUUUAGAGUUUGAGACAAACAAAUGCUCUGAAAGUGCUUCAUCUGAAUGCGCCAGUGUGUGAUUCUUCCUCUGGAGAAACCAAACUACAAUAGAAGUUCAGACAGAAAUACUGUUAAAAUGUUUUCAUGAUGCUGAUUGUUCAGACAGGCUGGAGAACAUACCGUAGGCCAGAUGACAAGUCCGGCGGCCAUGGAGUCGGCUGGAGCCCCAUCAUCCCCUACAGCUUCAAAGUUCCUGAGGGCUGGGACGAGGUAAGACUAAGACCUGAAGCUACUGACAGAACUUCAGUUUCACGUAACGGUCACUUAUUUCUGAUUUCGGAUCCGAAAUUUGUGCUGUGUUACCAUGGCUCCAAUCCAGGUCCCUGUGUCAAUUGCUGAUCUCGGUGGCACAGAGAUCGACCUGCGCUUUGCAAACCCAAAGGAGGGCCGGUUGUUCGUCGUC
RNAcentral lists this long non-coding RNA (1141 nucleotides) under Setaria viridis. RNAcentral's name for it is "long non-coding RNA (SVIR_LNC008528)". The record is from RNAcentral. Lineage: Eukaryota; Viridiplantae; Streptophyta; Magnoliopsida; Poales; Poaceae.